AACAUCGCGCACCUGCGGGAACCUGCGGAGGGAUCAUUAACAAUUGACCAUUUCAUAUGGAUCAAUCAAAAAUCCAUAUCCACCUUGUGUGCACUCACUGAACGUAUGCUUUGGCAGCGCAGCGUCUGGACACGGAUCCUGGUCCGUGCCUUCCAGCGGGGACCGACAUUUGUUUGGUUUCCCGGCCUGCCAGGGUUUUCUAAUGUCAAAACUUCAACGCAUCCAAACUAUAUUGCCUGA
RNAcentral lists this unclassified non-coding RNA (240 nucleotides) under soil metagenome. RNAcentral describes it as "partial contains 5.8S ribosomal RNA, internal transcribed spacer 2, and large subunit ribosomal RNA". The record is from RNAcentral.